Molecule: ribosomal RNA, 549 nt
Filed under: Triticum aestivum (bread wheat)
Lineage: Eukaryota; Viridiplantae; Streptophyta; Magnoliopsida; Poales; Poaceae
Description: partial small subunit ribosomal RNA
Source: RNAcentral
AUGCAAUAUUCCAUAUUCCUAGUUACGUAUUUACUUACGGUGACGAAGAAUAAAACUAUCGCUAUAUUUUUUCCUUUUCCUAGUUCUUCUUCCAAGCGCAGGAUAACCCCAAGGGGUUGUGGGUUUUUUUCUACCAAUGGGAGCUUUCCCUUCACCGCCCCCAUGGGGUGGUCCACAGGGUUCAUAACUACCCCUCUUACUAUGGGGCGUUUACCUAGCCAACACUUAGAUCCGGCUCUACCCAAAUUUUUUUGGUUCACCCCAACAUUACCCACUUGUCUGACUAUUGCUAAGCAGUUUUGGGAUACUAAACGGACCUCCCCAGAUGGUAAUCUUAAAGUGGCCGAUUUACCCUCUUUUGCAAUGAGUUUCGCUAUAGCACCUGCUGCUCUAGCUAAUUGCCCACCUCUUCCACGUGUGAUUUCUAUGUUAUGCAUGGCCGUGCCUAAGGGCAUAUCGGUUGAAGUAGAUUCUUCUUUUCUCUCAAAAAACCCCUUCCCAAACUGUACAAGCUUCUUCCAAAGCAUACGGCUUUCUAGAUGUAUAUGA